This is a long non-coding RNA of Chroicocephalus ridibundus (black-headed gull), 6169 nucleotides long. RefSeq lists it as uncharacterized. The record is from RefSeq and is a predicted model, not a curated record. Lineage: Eukaryota; Metazoa; Chordata; Aves; Charadriiformes; Laridae. The transcript is spliced from 4 exons.
UGCUCUUUUUGGCGCGGGCGGCGGAGGGGACGGUGAUGUGCACCGCGUGGUGCGGACGCGCCUGGGCCCGGUGGGGGCUCCGGGCCCUGGUAGCUCUAGGUCCAGCGGUGCGAUGGGCCUGGCGGCGAGGGGCGUCCGCCGGGCCUCAGUCUUGGGAUCAUCACCAACUUCUUCUGAGCCCCACAUCGGACCGGGACUUAACAAUGCGUGGCCUGUAUAGUUUCGUUUGGGACAAAGGCAGGCGGGACAAAUAGCUGCAAGGUUCUCCCUCUGCUGCAAGACAAUGCUGCGAAAGGACCUGAUAAGACACCCUGCUGCCCCGAGCAUGUUGCUUUGGGAAAGCACAUGGCCUGUGUAGCCUUGUGAGGGAGAAGGAAAGGUGACUAGCUGAAGCCAUGCCCUGCUCAGGGGCGCAGUGUGUGGCGGUGUUUGAGGAAGAGCCGUGUUUCCUGGGGGCGGGCAGCAAUGGAUCUCCUGGGACGGCUGCAGGGAAGGGAGACAGAUGGAAUUCUGGCCUUCAUCUGAUCCUGUCAGCACAAACGUGGCGCAGGAAGUGACACACAGGUCACGGCGUUCCUCCUGUGUCAACCCUCAUGCCCAGGUAAAUGUAAUGGGGUAACUGUAGAAGUGACCGCUUUUGGUUAACGAUCCUGAUUAUUGCAGACGAAUGAACCAGGUGCUGUUGGACACCGAUGGCCAAAACUCUGUCAGGACCUUAUUUGGAAAAAAGGAAUCAUGCAAUGUGCAAAACUAAGAUUCAUCUUCUAAAAGACAUUGUCAGAUCUGGUAACGCUGUGCUUUCAGUGUUGCUUUACUGGCAAUUUUGUCUGCAUUCUUCAUGAAUUUUGUAGUGGUCUUCCUGAAAUACUUGUUAGCUACAGAUGUUUAUAUAAACGAUAUGUUUAUGCAGUACCUAUAAAUUGUGUGUUGUGUACUUACAUUUUAGUAUUAUACAAAAGUGUUGUGGUAGUCAGCUCUUCGGUUGUCUUCCUCAAAUCUGCUUUUUUCCUGUAAUUUAAGAAUUAUACCAGUCUUUUGUGGACUUGAUUUAUUUGGUGUGCUCUUCCCCUGGGGGGAAAAAAAAAAACACCAACAACAAAACCAAACAAAGAAAGGGACUAAGUCUGAGCUUUUUUUGUUUUCUCCAAAGCUGUCUCCAUCUAGUCUGUCUUCAAUUUUCUUUCUCAUGCAAACCAUGGUGAAAAACAAUACCCGAAAGGCUCCAGUGCUUCCAACCAGUGGCUUGAUGGCCUGUGUGACGUGCCUCUUGUCCCAUCUCAAGAAGAAAGAAAUAUAUUGAUGGUGUUACAAAUAAAGCAGGUAGCGUCCUGUUCUAGGAAGAAAGUGUGUUGUGUUGGAAACCCUUGGGUAGGGCAGAAGGAGGUGUCCUGCCUGGGUCAGUGAUGAGUGUUGGCAUGUAUUAUCUGAUCUAAAGUUGAUGUCCAUCAACACUUUAGCUCUAGAAUUACUCUGAGACCCAGGAAACUCCAGUCAGCUUUUCAGAUUUGCUUUUUGGGGUGGGGAAAGCAAUGAUGAUACUGUAUUUUCUGUUGGGGUUGUACAUUCCUUUUUGUAUUUGCAGUUGGCGUUUCCUGGAAGGGUUAAAUUUGUUGGGCAUGUUCACGUACCUCUUAGAAUACUGUAAAUGGCAACUGCUUUGCCUGCACAGCAGUUCCAAAAAUGUGGGAAUAUUACAUGUUCUUGCAGUGGUUUUGUAUAUGCGCGUCCCUGUUGGUGGUUGCUUUGGGUUUUGGGUUUUGCUUGGUUUUUUUGGAAGGUGUUUUCUUAUCAGGGGAUUGUGAGCAGCCUUCGGUCAAUACUGUGGUUUCCUGCAAUUUGUGUUUUCCUAGUGACUGCCUGAAAUGUGUCCAGAAGGACUGCAAAUGUUGUCUCCCAGGGAAGACAGAGGGGUUUGUUGAUGCCUAGGUAUUAUGUGACAUGUUGUAAAUGAGCCCGGUGGUUGAUCUACGUGGGAUUGCCAGGAACGUUAAUGAUCAGAGUUAACCUGUUUCUGCCAGAGAGCCCAUUUGGCCUUCAGCUUGCCCUCCGUAAGCCUUAGGGUCAAAGGAAUGGACAGGAUCGAACCACAGGCUGGAUGCAGAAUUGUCCUAAGGCUGUAUCCAGCCUCCAGGAAGCAGUUUUAGUACUGCUGUGGGGAUUUUUGAAGAAGAGAGUAGUGCUCUGCUUAUCUUUUAGGAUCUUUUUUCCAAACUUUAUACUAAUGUAAUAUAUUAGUUAAACAUUACCAUUCUAUAAUUGCAUUGUGUAACUGGAACUUCUUUACAAAAGCAACAUUAAUCCAAUGGAAAAGUAAAACUAAUUUGAAACUAAAAGAUGAGAUGCGUGCAUGUUUUUCGUCAUGUGUGCAGGACUGCUUCAAGAUCUUCCUGCAUUUACUCUGCUAAAUAUACUUAUUUUUUCAGUACAAGCUUACUUCUGUCAUUUUGGAUCCGGAUAAUCAGCGCGACAUCCCGCACUGGAGUCAGGUGCUGUUCCUUGUAUAAUUCUGGUUCCUGAAACACAAACCAUGCAAAUGGCUUCUCAUGAGGCCACUUAAAAGAGCUCUGUAAAAAAUACUAUUUUUAAAAAAACAAACAAUUUGUAAGCUACUAGAAACCACGGUGGGUUAAUUAGUCUUCAGCUCUUGGUGCUUUUGCCUGAUCUAAAUGAGUCAGAAAUUGCUGUGAAGAAUCCCUAUGCCCCAGGGUCGGCUCCGUGCCAGCCCACCCACCGCAGAAAUCCUCUCACUGCCAUUUGUCUCGAUGAAGGAGGAAGAAGAUUUUGGGGUGACAUGAUGAAGAGGAAAUGGAAGUCAUUGAGAUGGUCCAAGUGAAGUGGCGGAUUAAGAUCACGUCUUUCAAGGGCGCUGGCCAGAUAAAAUAAAAAAGUGUUAUGAGAUCUCAGUGCCACUCCUAUAGAAUGCUUGGCGGCUUAUUUGUCAAAGGUCGGGGGGAAAUUGUAGCUGUUUUUAUUAUGGCUGUCCAUGUCUUGUCCUUUCUCCACACGAGUGUUAACUGAUGCAGUUUUCUCUUCCUUUGUAAGCUGAUACAUUCCUCGCGCUGGUGGGGCAGGGGGUGUCUGUUCUGCUCUGUCACUUCGGAAGGGUUUGGGGGGAGUUAAAAAGUUGUGGGGUUUUUUUUUUUUAAUUUCUGAGGAGCUCAUUAAAAAACCACCAAACCCAGCAAACACUUUCUCUUCAGACUGCGCUAAGAAAACCUUAACAUCUGAAGUCCUAAUGCUUUUCUGGUCUUGGGAUUAAACUUGAGCUAUUUCUGUCUUGCUGGAAGACCAAGUUGGCUGAGUUCUUCCAUACGUAAUGCAGGUACCUUUGGGGGCUUCUGCACGUUGUAUUUUGCAGGCGUUUUGUGCUAUUUCUACCUGUCAUAUCUAUUGUGGAAGUGGGCGCAGCCAUAGAAACAUCGGUGCUUACAGGUCUUUCCUUUCUUCUGCACUAACCCAUUCCUAACAGAUCCUGUUAGAUUUUUUGCUUGUUUUAUUUUUUUCUUUAAAUUAGUUUUAGAUCGUAGUCUUUUGACUUGACAAUUGUGGUUGUAUUUCAGGUUUUGAACCAUUCGACUAUAAAGACUUCUGUCUUUUAAGUAGCUUGGAACCUAGUGUAGUAGUUGUGCAUAUUAGCAGGUUUUUCCUUUUGUAUUUGCUUUUAAACAAGAAUUGCAGAGAGGAGCGGAGUGUGACAUGGCCGUAGAUGCAUCUGCUCCACAUUCAUGCUUCCCUGAAAACACAUACAGCUCCCCAGAGCCUGAGUCUGCAAUUAGUAACUUCAUUUGCCCACUUGCCAGUGGGGAACAUGCCCCUCUCUGAGCAUCCCCAUCUGUACAAGGGAAGUUUGUUGUCUUGUUCCUGAAGUGCACUGACUUUAAUUAUUAUGUUUUUAUACUGAUUUUACUUCUCUAAUAAGUACGUAUUGGUUCUGGGAAGGAACAAGUAAACAUACACACCGUACCUGUGUUUGGCAGACCCCUGCGGUGUGGGGCAGGACUUGUGCCCGUGUAGUUUUAGCCUUCUGUGAUCAAUGGUGGGGGCUCCUGUCUGUGGCUGUAACACGGUAAUUGCCCUCGGCUUGCUGCGAUUUGCAGCCUUUGCGAUGAGAUCCAGCAGUUCCACUUGCACACGCAGGACGCGCGCUGCAACCUGACCCCGUGGGGGAUUUUGGAGAGGAUUUUGUGGAAUGACUGAUGAACCCCACUGACAGGAUGCUCAGCUCGUGAGCCUUUCAGUAGCCUCGUGCAGUUGUGUGGUGACAGGUGCUCCUGGGGAAGGUUCAUGUGGUGAAGGAACACUGGGAUGCCAGAUAACUGCUGCCUCUUUGGGGUUGUUUUUUUUGUUCCUUGUAUUUUUUUUCCUUCCAGUUCUAUAGCACAGUAGGCUGCUGCUCCCCUCGGGGGUUUCCAGGAAAGCUCUAGUCAGAGACCAUCAAAGAACAUUAUGCUGUUGCUGAAGAGAAAACGGGGAAUUAGGGGAAGAGGCACUUGGAGGUGAUCAAAUUUACCUUUUCAGCCUUGGUUAUCUUUGCUUCUGCUGCCGAUGCCAUCAGGUGUGAUUGGGGACACAUCAGUGCUUCCUGCUGAAGGCAGAGUUGGAAGCUGUCUUACAGCAAACGAUCUACAGGUGUCUCUGAGUAAAUCAUAGGGCCGUAAAUGCCACAGAAAUUGCUCUGAUGGGUGUUGACAGGCAAGACAAAUAAAAGUUUAUUCAGUUGCAGCAGCAUCUUCAGCCAUGGAGAUUUGUGUUUCUCUUGCUGACAAAAGCUCCAUCCCGUACAAACGACAGCUGGGCGGCUUUUUGGAGAUGAACACAAACUUUCUUUCUUUUCCCAGGUGGUUCCAUUUCACAACCUGUUGGGAAUUGCUGGACCAUCUCUUUUCAGAAGAACAAAUGAAGGCUGUCAGUCCUGUCUUUCGUAUGCCAGAAGAUGCCCUGCAAGAGCAAAGGCACAGCCUGAGCUGUCUCACGGAGAGAAAAGGUGUCUGCCCUCUUGCCGUGGUUUGACUGCUAGGAGGUCAUCUCCGAAACCGUUACCGUAUUUUCUUUUUAAAUGUGUUUAUGUUACUGUAGUAGAGCAGAACUUUGGCCUGGGCUUUGUCACUUUGUAAGUUGUAUAGAACAGGGUUGUUCUAAUCAUCUGAGCAUAACCUGUUCUUUCGUUGUAUAUGAGGUGUAGAAACCUUUCUAAUCUGUAUCUAAACAUGUGGGGCUUUGGACAUUUUUCUGAAUAUUCAAGUCAAAGCAAGAGUGUGAUUGGCUUAAUUUUUGUAUCCCUGUGAUACCAACUGUAUUAACCAUCAUCUGUCUUUAUACGAAGGUGCUUUGAUGAUGGAUUAGAGUGUACUUCAAAAGAAUCUGAAAAAAGCCCUACCUAAGCUCUGCGUUAAUGCCACACGCUUGUGCAUUCUUCCCAUUCAUGCUUGACAUGGCUUUUACCUGCUGAGACACAAGCUGUUUCUUCUGAUGGUGUGAAACCAGUGAAAACAAAAGUUAUGGUUUCACUAAGUGUAUAUAAAUGUCUUCAUUGAUUGAAGUCCCUUAGACGAGAUUUCCCUGAUAUUUUGAAUAAAGCAUACCUUGAGUGUGUGUGAUGUAGUGAAACUUGCUAACGUUUAGCACUCUAGAGAAAGUGUCUACAGGAGAGUGGCUUGUUAUAUAGUGUUGAUCCUAAAUUUGCUGGGUUAAAAUUCUGCUGUCAUGGCAUUUAAGACAACAUCUAAUAACAUGUUGGCAAUUAAGAAUAAAACUAGCCAUGGAAAACACUUGCUUUCUGAAGGUUGGAGUCCUCUUUGUCUUCACAGGAGUCCUAAAAUUGCCUCUUACUUUACAUCUUGCGGAUAGUUGUUGAGACUGGGUGGUAUUCCAGAUGAAAUAUAAGGUAAAAGAUAACUGCAGAGGGGAAGUAGUUGCUAAUAAUCUCUAUACAUCUACUCCCACCCCCUGCCCUGGGCAGGGACACCUCCCACCAGCCCAGGUUGCUCCAAGCCCCGUCCAACCUGGCCUUGAACCCCUCCAGGGAUGGGGCGGCCACAGCUUCUCUGGGCAACCUGGGCCAGGGGCUCACUGCCCUCAUGGCAAAGAAUUUCUUCCCAAUAUCUGAUCUAAAUCAAGGCUUAAAUAAAAAAAAGUUACGGUAGGCUUUGCGUGCAUGGAAUGAGAGCCA